Cannabis sativa is the source of this 1432-nucleotide long non-coding RNA. RefSeq lists it as uncharacterized. The record is from RefSeq and is a predicted model, not a curated record. Lineage: Eukaryota; Viridiplantae; Streptophyta; Magnoliopsida; Rosales; Cannabaceae. The transcript has 2 exons.
UGUACGUGCUUUAUCACACAAUAUCAUUAAUUCAAUAGUUGGGAAGAAAUAUUGUUAUUAGAUAAAUUUUAAAUAUUCAUAUCAAUUUGGUACUUAUAAAAAUUCGGGGACAAAAAUGAAUAAUAAAAUAAAAUGUAAUUAUGUGAAAUGUAGUAUGAUAAAUAUUCAUAGCAUUCUUAUUAGAUAGGAGUGGAGAAGCAAGAGUGUGGCCGUUUAGAUUACAAAGCACAUAGCAAUGUAAAGAGGGAGAAACACGAGGCCAGCCGCUACCACACCACUCCACAGUGUCCACUACCAAAGCUCAGGACCUCUUCCAUUGCCGUAGCUUCCACACGAGAUACCGUUGCCGGAAGAAUUUCGCCUAAACAAAUCGUCCUCUCCGCAACCAUAACCUUUUUACGGCCAUUACUGCCACAUUCGUGACUCUCGUAUUCUUCCGAAUAUGAAGUAUAAUGCUGUUAGAGUUGUGACAUUAUGUCCUUUCAAUAUCUGUGCAUCAUAAAGGGUAGCUCGAGUGUUUGGUGUGAGUGUAUCAGAAUUGACAUGUGUGUUGGGGAGGGGUAGAGAAGAUUCACUUGGACAUGUGUGUUGGGGUAAGAGACUGGCACAUUAAUCUUUCAGAUUUCUCCUUCCAUGCGUGUGAACAACUUUAAGACUAAUAGAUGAAAGUCUCAAAAGCUUGCCUCAGAAUUGUUCAAUAGGGCAGGGAAGAUUCACUUGGACGUGUGUUGGGGUAAGAGACUGGCAGAGUAAGCUUUCAGAUUUCUCCUUUCCUGUAUUUGUGAACAACUUUAAGGCUAACAGAUGAACGUCGUAAUUAAAGCCCUGGCUCGGAAUUGUUCAAUGCUUGAAUCCAUUAAAAUGUUUUAUUCUGAUGGAAGAGGUCCCAAUAUUUCCCCUAGAUGGGUGUUCACUGAGGGAAUUUUCUUUUGACCAAGUCUAUUCCUUCAAUGAUAAUGGGAUGCAAGCUCAUACCUUGAAACAUUAGAAACUCGUCAGAUGCCAAGCAAUCAGUGAUGAAGGGCUGCAGCUUGUGAGCCAGUUUUCCCGAUUAUGGUUCUUGUGACUAAUAAGCAAAACCAAUGAUGGGUUGAAGCCACUUUUUGGUUCUUACAAACUGGGACUUGUUGCUGUUGAUGAUUGUCUUCAAAUAAAUUUACUGAGAGGGGUAUGGCGGGAGCAGCAAGAUCCAUUUCUUUAAGGCAAGGCUUGUGUUGGAUGUUUUGAAUAUCUUCCUUGUUUGCUUAUGUAUAGUAUUUAUAUAUGUUUUUAUGUACAAUUUCUAAUUAGAAUGACCGAUUAAGGAAUUUGAAUUAGAUAGGAGAGGAAGAUCGAGAAUAUAUCAUAGCUAGAAUAGAAUUCAGAUUCAGAGCAUGCUAAUUAAUUUUUCUAUCUUAUUUAUUUGGUUAAUAAAUUAAUUAAUACUUGUGCA